AGCUCCAAUAGCGUAUAUUAAAGUUGUUGCAGUUAAAAAGCUCGUAGUUGGAUUUCGGGGCAGGUGGGCCGGUCCACCGCGAGGUGUGUACUGGACGCCGGCCCUUCCUCUCGGAGGCCCCGUCUGCUCUUCGCUGAGUGGUCGGGGAGUUCGGGACGUUUACUUUGAAAAAAUUAGAGUGUUCAAGGCAAGCCGUUGGCCUGAAUACGUUAGCAUGGAAUAAUGGAAUAGGACCUCGGUUCUAUUUUGUUGGUUUCUGGGACCGAAGUAAUGAUUAAGAGGGACAGUUGGGGGCAUUCGUAUUCAAUUGUCAGAGGUGAAAUUCUCGGAUUUAUGGAAGACGAACAACUGCGAAAGCAUUUGCCAAGGAUGUUUUCAUUAAUCAAGAACGAAAGUACGC
Molecule: ribosomal RNA, 400 nt
Filed under: phytoplankton environmental sample
Lineage: Eukaryota
Description: partial small subunit ribosomal RNA
Rfam family: Eukaryotic small subunit ribosomal RNA
Source: RNAcentral